Molecule: ribosomal RNA, 492 nt
Filed under: uncultured bacterium
Lineage: Bacteria
Description: partial 16S ribosomal RNA
Rfam family: Bacterial small subunit ribosomal RNA
Source: RNAcentral
AGUGAACGCUGGCGGUAGGCCUAACACAUGCAAGUCGAACGGCAGCACAGUAAGAGCUUGCUCUUACGGGUGGCGAGUGGCGGACGGGUGAGGAAUACAUCGGAAUCUACUUUUUCGUGGGGGAUAACGUAGGGAAACUUACGCUAAUACCGCAUACGACCUACGGGUGAAAGCAGGGGAUCUUCGGACCUUGCGCGAUUGAAUGAGCCGAUGUCGGAUUAGCUAGUUGGCGGGGUAAAGGCCCACCAAGGCGGCGAUCCGUAGCUGGUCUGAGGGGAUGGUCGGCCACACGGGAACGGGGACACGGUCCAGACUCCUACGGGAGGCAGCAGUGGGGAAUAUGGGACAAUGGGCGCAAGCCUGAUCCAGCCAUACCGCGUGGGUGAAGAAGGCCUUCGGGUUGUAAAGCCCUUUUUUGGGGAAAGAAAAGCAGCAGGUUAAUACCCCGCGGUUCUGACGGUACCCAAAGAAGAAGCACCGGCUAACUUCGUG